GAGAAGGAUGCACACAGCUAGCUCCUGAGGAGGGACAGCCAAUGCUCCAGGAUCCAGUCUAUCCAGCAUGCACCCUGUGUCCCAGAUGGAGGACCUGAGAGAGGGGAACAGACUGGAGGACCCCCCCCCCCCAACCCCAGAGUGGAGAUUAUGGUGUUGAGGUUCCUACUUACCUUUGAGGAUGUAAAAUAUUGGAGGGGGCCUUCAUUUCACUAUGCUAUUCCUGGAAGUACUACUUUUAGAAGGCGAUGAAAUAUAGUAUGGAACAGAAUCAGUGAACUGGCACUUUUGAGGCCAUUACUUCAACAGCAACAAAGAAUGGUGGAUGGCUCAAAGAAUGAUAGACCUCCAUUCUAUUUAAUCCCUCCUCUUUUUUCACCCCCCCCAUACUAGUCCCCUCCUCUCCCUAUUCAGGUAUGUCGUCUUAUUACUGUUACCCCUUCCCCCAUGUUAUAUCUAUGUAGUAUUGUCAAAGCUGCAGGAGAAGACAAGUUGUAUAGUUGCAUAAUUCCAUUGUAGAGCCUGUGAAGCAUGAAGUAUUUGGAAACAUAUAUAAGCUGUAAGUCAUUUGCCUUUUUGCACUUUUCCUUGUCUGUUUCUUCAUGAAAACCAAUAAAAAAUUAAUCACAAAA
Molecule: long non-coding RNA, 632 nt
Organism: Mauremys reevesii (Reeves's turtle)
Lineage: Eukaryota; Metazoa; Chordata; Testudines; Geoemydidae
Exons: 2
Source: RefSeq, a predicted model, not a curated record